RNAcentral lists this long non-coding RNA (794 nucleotides) under Brassica rapa (field mustard). Its description in RNAcentral is "long non-coding RNA (BRAP_LNC005198)". Lineage: Eukaryota; Viridiplantae; Streptophyta; Magnoliopsida; Brassicales; Brassicaceae. The record is from RNAcentral.
UGAGUUUCAGUUUUUCUAAGCUUAAAAGGUGAAAUAGAUAACUGCAUAACUAUAUUUUAUCUUUGUUAAACCGGGGCUUCUAAUUCUAGUAGUAAAGGGUUUACAGCUGUGAGUACCGUCAACUAGAUUCGAAUCUCGGCCACUGGAAAAUUAACAUUUCGGCAUCGCCAGGAACAGAGAACCGACAUGUGGCAACACGUGACUAAUCUAGAUCACUUCUGUGGGGUCAGGAUAUCUCUGUAUAAUUCAAAAGAAAAAUAUUUUAUCUUUGUUAUAUUGAAGAUAUAUUUAAUAUUUAAUUUAUUGUUUCUGUCAUUUUGUUUUAUCUUGCCAGAGUCCUUAAUACACGUUUGAUUCUUUAUUUUUUUAUUUUUUUUGGUCAAAGUUUGAUUCUUUAUUUAUUUAUUUUAUUAUUUUUUAUUAAAUUUUAAUUAUUCAACUUUUGCUAUGGAUUCUCAGUGUAUAAUAUUUUAGUUCAUAUAUGCUUUAGGCUGCCACCACACGUAUGAACUAAAUCUAAGGCAACACACUUAAGAUUCUUUUGGCACUUCUCUAAUGGUAAAGCAGUAUUCUUUUAGUUUUAAAGUAUUCUCUAUUUGAAAACAUGUCAUCGAAUUGUAAAGUUUUCUUUAGUUUCUUGUCAAACUGCAACAGACUGUUAUUGGCUCAAGAAAUCCAAGUUCAAUAGAAACUCUAAAAAUCAAUACUCGAUAAAUUAAUAUUUUUUUCUAUCUCGAAUUAGACCAGUUCAAAAUAUGACACAAAUUGAUAUAAUAUUAUAUUAAUUUGUUAAC